RNAcentral lists this ribosomal RNA (373 nucleotides) under uncultured bacterium. RNAcentral's name for it is "bacterial SSU rRNA". It matches the Rfam family "Bacterial small subunit ribosomal RNA", at positions 523 to 898 of the family's 1533-position model. The record is from RNAcentral.
AUACGGAGGGUGCAAGCGUUAUCCGGAUUUACUGGGUUUAAAGGGUGCGUAGGCGGACUUAUAAGUCAGUGGUGAAAGCUCGGAGCUUAACUCCGGAACUGCCAUUGAUACUGUUAGUCUUGAAUUUGGUAGAGGUAGGCGGAAUGUAACAUGUAGCGGUGAAAUGCAUAGAUAUGUUACAGAACACCGAUUGCGAAGGCAGCUUGCUAUGCCAAUAUUGACGCUGAGGCACGAAAGCGUGGGUAGCGAACAGGAUUAGAUACCCUGGUAGUCCACGCCCUAAACGAUGAUUACUCGACAUUAGCGAUAUACAGUUAGUGUCCUAGCGAAAGCGUUAAGUAAUCCACCUGGGGAGUACGUUCGCAAGAAUGAA